ACGAACGGAUCGAUAGGGGGGAGUACGAAGAUGAACGGUGAGGGCAGCUUGGUCCCGACGCCUGCGUGCUCUGCUCUCCUUUGUCGUCUUCUCUCUUGCGUCUGUUCACCUCGUCCGCCAUUAAUGGAUGUCUGCGAGCCUUGCUCCCCACGUAUAUACCGCGUAAGAUGCACGCGAGGGUAAAAUGCAAUAUGAAUAAAAAAUAUGGAUUAGUUUAGAUAAAUGAGAAGGUGAAAGGAUGAGUGCGAUUAAAUGUAAUCGCGGACUCCGACUACUGUCGCCAAAGAGGGUCGCUGCCUCUAGGGUAGAGCUGGACGCUCAGCCUUGUCUCGCCGCCGCCGGGAGGAAGGCGAUCGGUCCCUCUUCGUUGUCUGUUGACAGGCGGAUUCGAGGCGGACUACAACGACGCCUUGAAGCGUGCACGAAAGCCCAGAAUCGAUCCAAAGUCCUCCAGCUAAAUCUUCAGGGAUCAACAACAACUUGCAUCACCUCAUUCUAGAUCAGAGGAGCUGAUUCACAAGGGAGAGAGAUCCGGGGAUCAUGGCUGUAUGCAAGUGGUACGAAGAGCCAAGAAAUCAAGAGCAUGAACGUGGCUACAGUCAGUAUGACGGGUCACAGUACUAGAAACACUAUGAUCAUCCUCUGCCCCAAAACCUUGCUGACUCUGAAAAUUUGGAGCGGUUAAGGAGACAUGACACAAAUGCUUACGAGUAGGUGUUCCAUUACAAGUCUUAGCCUGAUUACUAUUAAAAUAUUAAUAUGGGUUAACCAAUCUUGAUCAAUGCAAGAAGGGUGAGGCAGUAGGAGAUGCUGUUAACUUGAUGUAUGGGGUUAGAAUCUUAGUAUAAUUGAGGUAAAUGACUCUCUCAUGCGCUAGUCAUUAUUCUAAGAUUAGUGGUCAUUUGUGAUUUA
Molecule: long non-coding RNA, 912 nt
Organism: Zingiber officinale
Lineage: Eukaryota; Viridiplantae; Streptophyta; Magnoliopsida; Zingiberales; Zingiberaceae
Exons: 2
Source: RefSeq, a predicted model, not a curated record